GACGAACGCUGGCGGCGUGCUUAACACAUGCAAGUCGAGCGACGAAGCACCUUCGGGUGUGAAUUAGCGGCGAACGGGUGAGGAACACGUGAGAAAUCUGCCUUCAACACUGGGAUAACUCCGGGAAACCGGGGCUAAUACCGGAUAUGAAACCUGCGGGCAUCCGCGGGUUUGGAAAGUUUUUCGGUUGAAGGUGAUCUCGCGGCCUAUCAGCUUGUUGGUGAGGUAAUGGCUCACCAAGGCGACGACGGGUAGCCGGCCUGAGAGGGCGACCGGCCACACUGGGACUGAGACACGGCCCAGACUCCUACGGGAGGCAGCAGUGGGGAAUAUUGGGCAAUGGAGGAAACUCUGACCCAGCGACGCCGCGUGCGGGAUGAAGGCCUUCGGGUUGUAAACCGCUUUCAGCAGGGAAGAAGCGAAAGUGACGGUACCUGCAGAAGAAGCACCGGCUAACUAUGUGCCAGCCGCCGACGUAA
RNAcentral lists this ribosomal RNA (479 nucleotides) under uncultured bacterium. RNAcentral's name for it is "partial 16S ribosomal RNA". It matches the Rfam family "Bacterial small subunit ribosomal RNA", at positions 28 to 523 of the family's 1533-position model. The record is from RNAcentral.